This 460-nucleotide ribosomal RNA is filed under the name uncultured Acidimicrobiales bacterium. Its description in RNAcentral is "bacterial SSU rRNA". It matches the Rfam family "Bacterial small subunit ribosomal RNA", at positions 28 to 505 of the family's 1533-position model. Lineage: Bacteria; Bacillati; Actinomycetota; Acidimicrobiia; Acidimicrobiales. The record is from RNAcentral.
GACGAACGCUGGCGGCGUGCUUAACACAUGCAAGUCGAACGAACUCGACCUUCGGGUCACAUGAGUGAGUGGCGAACGGGUGAGUAACACGUGAGAAACCUACCCCAAAGUUUGGAAUAACUCGAAGAAAUUCAAGCUAAUACCAGAUGCCCUCUAUUGGUCGAAUGGUCAACUGAGGAAAGAUUUAUCGCUUUGGGAGGGUCUCGCGGCCUAUCAGCUAGUUGGUGAGGUAAUGGCUCACCAAGGCAUCGACGGGUAACUAGUCUGAGAGGACGAAUAGUCACACUGGAACUGAGACACGGUCCAGACUCCUACGGGAGGCAGCAGUGGGGAAUAUUGCACAAUGGGCGAAAGCCUGAUGCAGCGACGCCGCGUGGGGGAUGAAGGCCUUAGGGUCGUAAACCCCUUUCGCUAGGGAAGAAAAUGACGGUACCUAGAGAAGAAGCUCCGGCCAACUACG